CGAGAAAGAGAGAGAGAGAGAGAGAGAGAGAGAGAGAGACAGAUGGACAGAGAGAGAGAGAAAGGGAGACAGAUGGACAGAGAGAGAGAGCGAGAGAGAGAGAGAGAGAGAGAGAGAGAGAGAGACAGACAGAAAAUGAGAGAGACGGACAAACUGGGGGAGCCAAGGAACUCCUCCUCCUUACUCCCCUGCCCCCCUCCCCCCUUCUGUGGCGCUUCCAUAUCUCCCUCUCCCUCUCUCUCAUUCACUUUUCUCCUUCCCUCCGUCCCGCGUAGAAUCUACGCUGGUCCGUCUGCCACGUCAAAGCCUGCUCGCUCACUAUGGUACGUUGCGUCGCGAGAAAACCCCCGCUCAGAAGCUGAGAUGUAUUCACACACACAUACACACACACACACACACACACACAUACACACACACACACACACACACACACACACACACACACACACAGCGCUGGCAGAACUUUCCCACAACUUUAUUCGGUGCGCGGCUGGAAGGACAGAAGCAGGACCCCCACUUCGACCAAUUAGAGAUCGGGACCAGAGAAGGACGACGGUCACCACGACAACAAGAUCUGGCGGAUGGUGGGGAGAUGGAGACAGAGGUGGGAGGAGAUGGUCAGCCUGAGCCGCCUGCACGCGCACCUCUCUUCAUCAAGGGAGCCUCGGACCCACUAUGAUACUGAAGUAAAUCUAAUGUCAAACAAAACAAAAAAACACAGUAAGUUUGUGUGCCUGCCAUUCGUGGUUGUGAGUCUGUCUGUGUGUG
Long non-coding RNA from Gadus macrocephalus (Pacific cod), 768 nucleotides. RefSeq lists it as uncharacterized. The transcript is spliced from 2 exons. The record is from RefSeq and is a predicted model, not a curated record. Lineage: Eukaryota; Metazoa; Chordata; Actinopteri; Gadiformes; Gadidae.